Molecule: long non-coding RNA, 976 nt
Filed under: Marmota monax (woodchuck)
Lineage: Eukaryota; Metazoa; Chordata; Mammalia; Rodentia; Sciuridae
Source: RNAcentral
AUCCAGCCCUAAGUAACAGAAUUAAAGAUUUCUCUAUUAGACACAGAGGUUAUACUAGUAAAAAAUUUUGCAAGAUCAGAUGACAUUAAAUUAUUAGACUAUAUCUUAAGGGAAAGGACAUCUGUAAACCUAAAUGUUAAUUGUUGUGUUCACAUCCCUGACAUUUCUGGGAAUGUGGCAAAUAUCCUUAAAGAUUUACAUGCUCAGAUAGAAGCCAUGUACUCAGCAACUUUGUCAUGGAAACAAUAUCUUAGCUCCUGGUUCUUGGUAUUUCCUGGUGGAAAACACUGUUAGUCUUUGUCUUUGCCAUCAUACUCAUUGGCAUAUUCCUGUGCUAUGGCAUUUAUUGCUGCAUCAAUAUGGUUCCAGUACUAAUGAAUUCUUGUUUCUCUUAUAGACCACCCAUCACUCAAAUGGCCCUCCAGCCUAUUACUUCUCAAUCGGACUUUUAUCAUGGACCACUCGAUAGACCCAAUUUUUAAAGGGGGACUCCAAACUGCUUGCCCCACACCGUCCCUUAUCAGCCUGAAGAAGCCAGAAAGAUUUUCUUCGCGCCCCCCCCCUUCCUUACAGCAGCAAGGAGUUCCCAAAUUAGAGGGGGGAAAUGAAGCCAGAUUUAAAGUUAGGUAGUCAGUGUAGUUAGGUAAAUUGGGGUCUAAUACCGAGUGAAAUCUAAAAUGGAGGCCAUGCUGAAAAUGAUUCCAGGAAACGCAGGACAACUCAUGGUAAUCAGACAGCAAUAUGCUCCACUGACAGAGCUGGAAAAUGAGAUUCCCCAAUAAUUAUGAUUCAUUACUUUUAAGAUUAAAAGUAGUCAGAAAAAGGAGUGGGGAAUGAAGGAUAAAAGAAACUGAAGUUAAAGACCAGGCAUUGAUGGAAAUGGAAGGAGACCCUCAGGGUUAUACAAAAUUACAUACAAGAGGAAGUGAGGGGAAAGGGAAAAAUAAUACAAGGGGGAGAAAUGAAUGACAGUAGA